Papilio machaon (common yellow swallowtail) is the source of this 309-nucleotide long non-coding RNA. RefSeq lists it as uncharacterized. NCBI's taxonomy places the organism in Eukaryota, Metazoa, Arthropoda, Insecta, Lepidoptera, Papilionidae. The record is from RefSeq and is a predicted model, not a curated record. The transcript has 3 exons.
CGGGUUGGCGGCGCUGCUGGCGGCGGCCGCGUUACUAGCCGCCGUGUUGCUGCUGGCGGCCCUCGCCUACAGGCGCAGUACAUCGCACGCCUGCAUGAGGAAAGGCUACGAGCAGAGCGGCAUAGUGGAGGAGGACAAGUCGGUAGAGAGGAGGGAUAACCGGCGCAACUGCCAGCAGGUGUACACCUCCUCACCCAUCAAACAUCCUGCCACCAAAAAGGAACAACAAGAAAUGUACGAGAUAAGUCCGUACGCGACGUUCAGUAUGUCGGGGGGCGCGACGAGCGAGGCGGGCGAAGCGGGCGAGGC